CAGUAGCCGCGGGAAUACGUAGGGUGCAAGCGUUAAUCGGAAUUACUGGGCGUAAAGCGUGCGCAGGCGGUUAUAUAAGACAGAUGUGAAAUCCCCGGGCUCAACCUGGGAACUGCAUUUGUGACUGUAUAGCUAGAGUACGGCAGAGGGGGAUGGAAUUCCGCGUGUAGCAGUGAAAUGCGUAGAUAUGCGGAGGAACACCGAUGGCGAAGGCAAUCCCCUGGGCCUGUACUGAUGCUCAUGCACGAAAGCGUGGGGAGCAAACAGGAUUAGAGACCCCUGUAGUCCCUGUCUCUUAUAC
RNAcentral lists this ribosomal RNA (301 nucleotides) under uncultured bacterium. Its description in RNAcentral is "partial 16S ribosomal RNA". It matches the Rfam family "Bacterial small subunit ribosomal RNA", at positions 509 to 807 of the family's 1533-position model. The record is from RNAcentral.